RNAcentral lists this long non-coding RNA (285 nucleotides) under Olea europaea (common olive). RNAcentral describes it as "long non-coding RNA (OEUR_LNC001946)". The record is from RNAcentral. Lineage: Eukaryota; Viridiplantae; Streptophyta; Magnoliopsida; Lamiales; Oleaceae.
GAUAACGCAUUGAGAAUAUAACCACAGCAUGUGAGUUCAUCCUAUUGAUGCUUUUGUUUUUCCAUCCUUAUGGCUUUCGCAUCUUCAUCCGUUGGCUCCACAAAUGGGGCCAAUUUGGGAUCAAGAAUGUAGCAGAUUGUCAAUGCCGCUAAGAGAAACUUCGACUUGUCUUGCCACAUUGUAAAAUUCAUCCCAUCAAAACGGUCCAAACGAAUAAGGUCUUGAUUAGUCAACUUGAUUGUCAACAUGGUGGUUUCAUUCUCUAUUGUAGAAUAUUGUUUAAGA